Molecule: ribosomal RNA, 251 nt
Filed under: uncultured prokaryote
Description: partial 16S rRNA
Rfam family: Bacterial small subunit ribosomal RNA
Source: RNAcentral
ACGUAGGGAGCUAGCGUUGUCCGGAAUUACUGGGCGUAAAGAGCGCGUAGGCGGGUAUUUAAGUCAGAUGUGAAAACUAUAGGCUCAACCUGUAGCCUGCAUUUGAAACUGGAUAUCUUGAGGGCAGGAGAGGAAAGUGGAAUUCCUAGUGUAGCGGUGAAAUGCGUAGAUAUUAGGAGGAACACCAGUGGCGAAGGCGACUUUCUGGACUGUACCUGACGCUGAGGCGCGAAAGCGUGGGGAGCGAACGG